GAGCUUGGGUCCUGGGAGAGGAGCAAGGUUCAGGCCAUGCUGUCACUGGGAGAUGACAACUUCAUUCCCCAGCAACCGCAAUGCUUGGCAGAUGAUGGCAAUGCUGGGAGCCAAUGGGACAUGCAUGGACAAACCAUGCAGAAAGCCACGUGUGCUCAGGUGAAGGUGCCGCCUGAAUUCCCCAGCCAGCCCCACAUUCCCAGCCAGCCUCCCUUUUGG
Molecule: long non-coding RNA, 219 nt
Filed under: Homo sapiens (human)
Lineage: Eukaryota; Metazoa; Chordata; Mammalia; Primates; Hominidae
Description: HSALNT0170453
Source: RNAcentral